ACAUCGGUGGUCAGUACAGUCUUCCGAAAACAGAAAGACACGGGUUCAAUUCCCGUCCGAUGUC
This is a non-coding RNA of Nippostrongylus brasiliensis, 64 nucleotides long. The record is from Rfam. NCBI's taxonomy places the organism in Eukaryota, Metazoa, Nematoda, Chromadorea, Rhabditida, Heligmosomidae.